This 670-nucleotide long non-coding RNA is filed under the name Phasianus colchicus (ring-necked pheasant). Its description in RNAcentral is "lncRNA (ENSPCLG00000018871.1)". The record is from RNAcentral. Lineage: Eukaryota; Metazoa; Chordata; Aves; Galliformes; Phasianidae.
AUGCGGCAGCCCUCAUUGCUCCUUUGCACUAUUGCUUUCUCCACAGGGGUGAAGAGGAGUCGCAGGGAAGGCUUUCCCACUUCCAUGGAUUCGCAGAAGACCGCCGGACAGAGUGGCAUUUCUGAGUGCCAGCGCUAUGCUCUCAGCUCUGCUGGGAGGAUGGAGCAGAGACUCCCAAGCCAACCCCAAGAAGCCUGGUUGAAGAGGCCUAGGGCACUCCACACCCCCAGGGCACCACAGGGGCUCUCAGGCUCAGCUGAGGGUCCUUCUGUCUCCGUCGUGUCACUGCAGGAGGAGGAUCCCCUGAGCUGUAUCCGCGCCUGCUGCACGCGCAGACCCCAGGCAGAGGCACAGAAGCUGAGCUUUCUGGCCUCCAUCUGCACCAUCUGCAAAGCUGCCCUUGAGGACUGUGGUGCACAUUACCGGCUGUGUGUCUGCCCGCUGGAGGUGGCGCAGUGCAUUGAGGUAAGGGCAGCACUGCAGGGCUGGGCGGUGGGCGCAGCCCUUCCCAUCGCAGGGUCGCAGGGGAGCCCCGGGAGCUGGGAUGGGGUGCCGGGAUGGGGUGCCCUGCGGGUCAUUUGCUGUGCAGGGGGCCCCAUCCCAUCCCUUCCCAUCCCACCGUGCCCUCAGGCGCUGCUGCAGGAGGAGCCCGCUGAGCGCCUGGACACGG